This 278-nucleotide ribosomal RNA is filed under the name Ixodes ventalloi. Its description in RNAcentral is "partial 16S ribosomal RNA". The record is from RNAcentral. Lineage: Eukaryota; Metazoa; Arthropoda; Arachnida; Ixodida; Ixodidae.
UCUGCUCAAUGAUUUUUUAAAUUGCUGUGGUAUUUUGACUAUACGAAGGUAUUGAAAUAAGAUUUUAAAUGAGUGCUAAGAGAAUGGUUGAACAAUUAAUGACUUUCUUUAAUUAAAAAAUUAAAUUUAAUUUUUUAAAGCGCAAAAGCAAAAAUGAAAAUUUGGGACAAGAAGACCCUAUGAAUUUUUAUUUAUUUUUUAAUUUUUAAAAAUUAUUAAAAUAAAUUUGAUUGGGGCGAUGGAUAAAGAGUAGAUAUCUUUAUUUAAAUUUAAAAAAU